RNAcentral lists this non-coding RNA (143 nucleotides) under uncultured Ruminococcus sp. Its description in RNAcentral is "THF riboswitch". The stretch from base 48 to 142 matches the Rfam family "THF (Tetrahydrofolate) riboswitch aptamer". Rfam says of the family: THF riboswitch presents a pseudoknot that joins P1-P2 and the loop of P3 and two THF binding. The record is from RNAcentral. Lineage: Bacteria; Bacillati; Bacillota; Clostridia; Eubacteriales; Oscillospiraceae.
CAGAGUAGGAAAUGGUGCGUAAUCAGAAGCAUCGGAUCGGAAAACGAUUCGGGGAGUCUGGUUGAGUGCCCGACAGACGGGGAGUUGCUGCCGGGACGAAAAGCGAGUCAGAUCGCUUGCGGUACUGUUUCCGCAUCCCGCUG